GAUGCAGCAGUGAGGAAUAUUGGUCAAUGGGCGCAAGCCUGAACCAGCCAUCCCGCGUGCAGGAUGAAGGCCCUAUGGGUCGUAAACUGCUUUUAUACACCAAGAAAAACACCCACGUGUGGGUGCCCGACGGUAGUGUAUGAAUAAGCAUCGGCUAACUCCGUGCCAGCAGCCGCGGUAAUACGGAGGAUGCAAGCGUUAUCCGGAUUCAUUGGGUUUAAAGGGUGCGUAGGCGGCUUUUUAAGUCAGUGGUGAAAUCUUGCCGCUUAACGGUAAAAUUGCCAUUGAUACUGAUAAGCUUGAGUACAAUUGAGGUAAGCGGAAUGUGUAGUGUAGCGGUGAAAUGCUUAGAUAUUACACAGAACACCAAUUGCGAAGGCAGCUUACUAAACUGUUACUGACGCUGAUGCACGAAAGCGUGGGGAGCGAACAGGAUUAGAUACCCUGGUAGUCCACGCCGUAAACGAUGAUCACUCGCUGUAUGCGAUACACAGUAUGCGGCCAAGCGAAAGCAUUAAGUGAUCCACCUGGGGAGUACGAUCGCAAGGUUGAAACUCAAAGGAAUUGACGGGGGCCCGCACAAGCGGAGGAACAUGUGGUUUAAUUCGAUGAUACGCGAGGAACCUUACCUGGGCUUAAAUGGGGAACGACAGCUGCCGAAAGGUGGCCUUCUUCGGACGUUCUUCAAGGUGCUGCAUGGUUGUCGUCAGCUCGUGCCGUGAGGUGUCGGGUUAAGUCCCAUAACGAGCGCAACCCUUAUCGUUAGUUGCCAGCGGGUCAUGCCGGGGACUCUAGCGAGACUGCCACCGUAAGGUGUGAGGAAGGUGGGGAUGACGUCAAAUCAGCACGGCCCUUAUGUCCAGGGCUACACACGUGUUACAAUGGCCAAUACAAAGGGCAGCUACCGGGUGACCGGAUGCUAAUCUCUAAAGUUGGUCUCAGUUCGGAUCGAAGUCUGCAACCCGACUUCGUGAAGCUGGAUUCGCUAGUAAUCGCAUAUCAGCCAUGAUGCGGUGAAUACGUUCCCGGGCCUUGUACACACCGCC
This 1046-nucleotide ribosomal RNA is filed under the name uncultured bacterium. RNAcentral describes it as "bacterial SSU rRNA". It matches the Rfam family "Bacterial small subunit ribosomal RNA", at positions 345 to 1394 of the family's 1533-position model. The record is from RNAcentral.